Molecule: unclassified non-coding RNA, 208 nt
Filed under: Rosa sempervirens
Lineage: Eukaryota; Viridiplantae; Streptophyta; Magnoliopsida; Rosales; Rosaceae
Source: RNAcentral
GUCGUUGCCCCCCCCCCAACCCCCUCGGGAGUUGGAUGGGACGGAUGAUGGCCUCCCGUGUGCUCAGUCACGCGGUUGGCAUAAACACCAAGUCCUCGGCGACCAACGCCACGACAAUCGGUGGUUGUCAAACCUCGGUUUCCUGUCGCGCGCGUGUUGAUCGAGUGCUUUCUUAAACAAUGCGUGUCGAUUCGUCGAUGCUUACAAC